GUUAACUGACAUAAUAUGUCUUCGGCAUAUUGUGCCCUUACUGCUUAUUUACUCGGUUGUUAGGUGUGUUUUAACAUCCUAGUUUUAACUUGAUUUCACGAGGAUUGCCUGUGCUAUACUGUUCUUCAGAAUUCUCUUAUAUGUAAUCUAGUUAUUGGAUACUUACAAUGUAUGUAUCAAAAUCCAAUUUUAGAUGUUUAAUUCACUCUUGGAAGUUGGAAUGUUGUUGAAUUUUUUUUUUUAUUAUAUAAAAUGUUGUUGAGAAUUUUGUUGUCUAGUUUUGACUCUUCAUGAGCCGACACUUAGUGUAGACUCUUCUGAUCAUAAACCGGAUCUGUUAAUCGAAAUCACUACUCGUCUUGAGCUAGUUUCUUAAGUUUACCACACAAAUAAUUCAAAUUUUCUAGAAAAUGAAGCCUUUUCUGAAUUAACUAGUUUUAUACUGAUCCCAUUUACAUAAGGCAAAGAGCUUCUUUGCUUAUGACUUGUAGACAUCUGAAAUUCAAGACAACGUCUCAUAUGUUAUUCAAAGUGUUAGUUGCUUCUUUCUUUGGAUAAUGAAAGCAGUAUCAGAUGAUCAGAUAAGACUUUUUAAUUUAUUUUGCUUUGACUAACAUUUCUUUAAUUUAUCAUUGAAUCAUCUGAUUAUUUAAUCAUCUGAUUAUUUUUCUAAAGAUAGAAACCCAUCAAAUCUUGUAAAGGGGUUUUUAUCAGAGUUAAAUAGCCAUUCUAUUGACAAUCUUCUCUUACCUAAGCAAUAAUAUCUUUUGCUUGUGUUGGAGGGUCACACACCAAUAAACUCCCAACCAGAGGAAGAAAGUGACAUUCCAACAAGAAGUGAAUGCAUUAUGUUUUCCUUCUCUUUGUCCAUAAAUAGUUAGUAGUCUUUCUUUUUGUUAUUAAGGAGUUGGUUGUUUUAGCCAUUAAUAUCUCAUUUCCACAAUGUUUUUUCCACCUCAUAUUCUUACAUUUAAAGUAGCAAGAAUCUCAGAUUGAUUCGACAUAGAUUCCUUCUAUCAAGAGCCAGAGAGGCUUGACGCUAAGAGGACAUGAUCUUCUCUUCAUACUCUGAGUAUGAGAGCACCAUUAUCAAUGGUAUGAGGAAGGAGUUCUCAAAAAUGGAUUAGUUGACUAAUCCAUUUUUGAGAACUCCUUCCUCAUACUAUUGAUGGAGUUGCUCUGAUACUCUUUCCUUUUACCGUUAGCAAGCUCAGAGCAGCUUUAGCAAAAAACAUGAUCUUCAUGGUAGAUGAUGACACAUGCAACAACUGACUCUAACUGACCUUGAAACUUCCCCUCACAGUCUUUGUUGAUCUUCAUCAGAAACCAUACCGGCCCUAUCCGAUUCAGUUGAAUUGUUUGGUUUGGUGCCAAAGUGAAAAUAACUUUGGUAACCAAAUGAGUUCAAAAGAUUGAACUCUGUUUCACCAACUGUAAUGGAGAAGCUCAAGCCUUUCAACUCUUUUAUUUACUGACAACUGACAAAUCAUUACACUUCAAAUAAAAUAAUGUCCUUUUUUUUCUUUAUGCCAUUUGAUACAUAAUGCUAAAUGAACCUCUUCUGAUA
Brassica napus (rape) is the source of this 1567-nucleotide long non-coding RNA. RefSeq lists it as uncharacterized. Lineage: Eukaryota; Viridiplantae; Streptophyta; Magnoliopsida; Brassicales; Brassicaceae. The record is from RefSeq and is a predicted model, not a curated record. The transcript is spliced from 2 exons.